GGGGGGGAACUUUCGGGAUCUUGAGAGCGGCGUACGGGUGCGGAACACGUGUGCAACCUGCCUUUAUCAGGGGGAUAGCCUUUCGAAAGGAAGAUUAAUACCCCAUAAUAUAUUUGUCGGCAUCGAUGGAUAUUGAAAACUCCGGUGGAUAGAGAUGGGCACGCGCAAGAUUAGAUAGUUGGUGAGGUAACGGCUCACCAAGUCUGCGAUCUUUAGGGGGCCUGAGAGGGUGAUCCCCCACACUGGUACUGAGACACGGACCAGACUCCUACGGGAGGCAGCAGUGAGGAAUAUUGGACAAUGGGUGCGAGCCUGAUCCAGCCAUCCCGCGUGAAGGACGACGGCCCUAUGGGUUGUAAACUUCUUUUGUAUAGGGAUAAACCUAGAUACGUGUAUCUAGCUGAAGGUACUAUACGAAUAAGCACCGGCUAACUCCGUGCCAGCAGCCGCGGUAAUACGGAGGGUGCAAGCGUUAUCCGGAUUUAUUGGGUUUAAAGGGUCCGUAGGCGGAUCUGUAAGUCAGUGGUGAAAUCUCACAGCUUAACUGUGAAACUGCCAUUGAUACUGCAGGUCUUGAGUGUUGUUGAAGUAGCUGGAAUAAGUAGUGUAGCGGUGAAAUGCAUAGAUAUUACUUAGAACACCAAUUGCGAAGGCAGGUUACUAAGCAACAACUGACGCUGAUGGACGAAAGCGUGGGGAGCGAACAGGAUUAGAUACCCUGGUAGUCCACGCCGUAAACGAUGCUAACUCGUUUUUGGAGCGCAAGCUUCAGAGACUAAGCGAAAGUGAUAAGUUAGCCACCUGGGGAGUACGAACGCAAGUUUGAAACUCAAAGGAAUUGACGGGGGCCCGCACAAGCGGUGGAUUAUGUGGUUUAAUUCGAUGAUACGCGAGGAACCUUACCAAGGCUUAAAUGGGAAAUGACAGGUUUAGAAAUAGACUUUUCUUCGGACAUUUUUCAAGGUGCUGCAUGGUUGUCGUCAGCUCGUGCCGUGAGGUGUUAGGUUAAGUCCUGCAACGAGCGCAACCCCUGUCACUAGUUGCCAUCAUUAAGUUGGGGACUCUAGUGAGACUGCCUACGCAAGUAGAGAGGAAGGUGGGGAUGACGUCAAAUCAUCACGGCCCUUACGCCUUGGGCCACACACGUAAUACAAUGGCCGGUACAGAGGGCAGCUACACUGCGAAGUGAUGCAAAUCUCGAAAGCCGGUCUCAGUUCGGAUUGGAGUCUGCAACUCGACUCUAUGAAGCUGGAAUCGCUAGUAAUCGCGCAUCAGCCAUGCGCGAGCCAC
RNAcentral lists this ribosomal RNA (1290 nucleotides) under Chryseobacterium sp. RNAcentral's name for it is "bacterial SSU rRNA". It matches the Rfam family "Bacterial small subunit ribosomal RNA", at positions 68 to 1367 of the family's 1533-position model. Lineage: Bacteria; Pseudomonadati; Bacteroidota; Flavobacteriia; Flavobacteriales; Weeksellaceae. The record is from RNAcentral.